RNAcentral lists this ribosomal RNA (259 nucleotides) under uncultured bacterium. RNAcentral describes it as "partial 16S ribosomal RNA". It matches the Rfam family "Bacterial small subunit ribosomal RNA", at positions 99 to 354 of the family's 1533-position model. The record is from RNAcentral.
CGGACGGGUGGAGUAACGACGUGGAGUAACCUGCCGUAUACUGGGGGAUAAACACUUAGAAAUAGGUGCUAAUACCGCAUAAGCGCACAGUCUCGCAUGAGACGGUGUGAAAAACUCCGGUGGUAUACGAUGGAUCCGCGUCUGAUUAGCUUGUUGGCGGGGUAACAGCCCACCAAGGCGACGAUCAGUAGCCGGCCUGAGAGGGUGAACGGCCACAUUGGGACUGAGACACGGCCCAAACUCCUACGGAAGGCAGCAG